CCUAUGGGUGGCAGCAGUGGGGAAUAUUGCACAAUGGGGGAAACCCUGAUGCAGCAACGCCGCGUGAGUGAGGAAGUAUUUCGGUAUGUAAAGCUCUAUCAGCAGGGAAUAGAAAAGAAGGUACCUGAAGAAGAAGCCUCGGCUAACUACGUGCCAGCAGCCGCGGUAAAACGGAGGGGCCAAGCGUUAUCCGGAAUUACUGGGUGUAAAGGGAGGGUAGACGGAAAGGCAAGUCAGAAGGGAAAGCCCAAGGCUCAAACAUGGGACUGCUUUUGAAACGGUUAAACUAGAGUACGCGCAGGGUAAGUGGAAUUCGUAGUGUAGCGGUGAAAUGCGUAGAUAUUAGGAGGAACACCAGUGGCGAAGGCGUCGUACUGGACCGAAACUGACGUUGAGGCUCGAAAGUGCGGGGAGCAAACAGGAUUAGAUACCCGUGUAGUC
RNAcentral lists this ribosomal RNA (441 nucleotides) under uncultured bacterium. RNAcentral's name for it is "partial 16S ribosomal RNA". It matches the Rfam family "Bacterial small subunit ribosomal RNA", at positions 338 to 795 of the family's 1533-position model. The record is from RNAcentral.